This is a long non-coding RNA of Bombus pascuorum, 710 nucleotides long. RefSeq lists it as uncharacterized. The record is from RefSeq and is a predicted model, not a curated record. NCBI's taxonomy places the organism in Eukaryota, Metazoa, Arthropoda, Insecta, Hymenoptera, Apidae. The transcript is spliced from 4 exons.
CCAACUGGUCGACUAUGUAUAAAAUUGUGUCUGGUCUGCAAAAGAGUUGCUUGUCGUGUGAAUUUCCUUGAUCGCCACGAUCAAAUGCGUACGGUCUGAUAUAUUUUCUUGAACCCCAUCGGUGGGAAUUGAUCGACAGUGCGUACAGGUUCUAAAGGCAUUAAAAUUUAACGGAGAGUUUGUGGGAGAACGAGAGAAUAUUUGACUAUUAUCAGAUAAGACAGAAAUUUCAACUUUUGCACGAGCUGAGAGAAGCGAAGGCGAGGGCGAGGCUAACGAGAAUGCGACUGACAACCCAAGAGUCGAAGAUAAUGAAGAGAGAGAAAGGAGGACAAGUGUUGGAAGCAAUAAUGUCGAAGAAGGAGACUCGAGAGAAAGCAUCGCGGAUAAAGGAACCAACCGAGAAGAGGAGAAGCUUAAAAGUAGCGCCACUGGAAAGGAACAAAAAGUUCUGUUCGGCGAGCGUCCAACGUCAGAUAGCAGUCUCGAGGAUGGAAGAAAGGAUGAGAAAGAAGGUCACGAUAGCGAUGAUAAUGAGAACUGUAUAAGAAUCGAAAGAUUAUGGCUAAGGCGGCUUAUUUAUAAUUUGUGCGUUCAUUUCGUCGCAUAUAUAGCCUGCAUCCUGAUUGUGACUCUGACUCUUGUGAUUGGAUAUUUUCUAAACGCAUCGAUAUAAGCGAUUACGACAAGUAGCUAUAGUAGUUGAACAG